This 114-nucleotide non-coding RNA is filed under the name Penicillium steckii. Its description in RNAcentral is "TPP sequence". It matches the Rfam family "TPP riboswitch aptamer (THI element)". Rfam says of the family: Vitamin B(1) in its active form thiamin pyrophosphate (TPP) is an essential coenzyme that is synthesised by coupling of pyrimidine and thiazole moieties in bacteria. The previously detected thiamin-regulatory element, thi box was extended, resulting in a new, highly conserved RNA secondary structure, the THI element, which is widely distributed in eubacteria and also occurs in some archaea. Lineage: Eukaryota; Fungi; Ascomycota; Eurotiomycetes; Eurotiales; Aspergillaceae. The record is from Rfam by way of RNAcentral.
AGAACGCAUGACGGGUGUUCGAAGCCUCACUCGAAAGAGUCGCUUUGUUCUGAGAUAUUACCGUUAAAACUUGAUCUGGACAAUACCAGCGAAAGGACAUGCCUGUUCUAUCCU